ACCUGGGUGGCUCAGUCAGUUGAGCGUCUGACUUCGACUCAGGUCAUGAUUUCAUGAUCAGGUCAUGGGUUCGAGCCCCGUAUCAGGCU
Molecule: transfer RNA, 89 nt
Filed under: Felis catus (domestic cat)
Lineage: Eukaryota; Metazoa; Chordata; Mammalia; Carnivora; Felidae
Rfam family: tRNA
About the family: Transfer RNA (tRNA) molecules are approximately 80 nucleotides in length. Their secondary structure includes four short double-helical elements and three loops (D, anti-codon, and T loops).
Source: Rfam by way of RNAcentral